Molecule: ribosomal RNA, 255 nt
Filed under: uncultured bacterium
Lineage: Bacteria
Description: partial 16S ribosomal RNA
Rfam family: Bacterial small subunit ribosomal RNA
Source: RNAcentral
CGAAGGGGCUAGCGUUGUUCGGAAUUACUGGGGCGUAAAGGGCGCGUAGGCGGCUCUGUGCGUCGUGCGUGAAAGGCCUGGGCUCAACCCAGGAACGGCGCACGAUACGACGGAGCUAGAGUGCAGGAGAGGAUGGUGGAGUUCCCAGUGUAGAGGUGAAAUUCGUAGAUAUUGGGAAGAACACCGGUGGCGAAGGCGGCCAUCUGGACUGCAACUGACGCUGAGGCGCGAAAGCGUGGGGGAGCAAACAGGAUU